GCUGGAACGAGCCACACGCAGCUGCGUGCAUAAACAGGUAUUUGGUGUGACGUCGGCAAGGUAAAGCGGCGCGCGCCGGCUUCCACUCUGAUACGGACGCGCGAGAGCUCCUACUCGACACCGUCAAAUCGAGCCCCGGGUGCUUGCAUUAGUAUGAUGCCUAUAAGAGGUAAAUGUGAAGGAUGCCGCAUUUGUGGGAGUGACCUGCAGGGUAACCAGCGGCGAUGGUUGUAUGCGGCUCAGAACCGGAAGGAGGCACAACCUCAGACGCCAACAGACUGGUCUAGCAAGGGAAGCCUGCCCAGAUCAGCACAGAGCAGCCCAUGGGGCAGUACAUUAUCUCUCAGCUCUUCUAAUUCCCUCUCCAAGUCUCUUGCUUUGCUCACCGCUACAAAAGGAAUAGAUCUGCUCUGUGUGCUGACACACAUAUUAGAGCAGCCUGUACCACGUGGGGGCGGUCAGGGGGAGUUUUUAUGUGGCAAGUGCGUGUCUGUUUUGGAGCGGGUUUUCAAGUUCGACACUGUCAUCAGUCGGGUCAGAGCUCUGUCGAGCGAGAGGCUUCAGAGACUCACACAGGAAAGAGACAAGAUUAGGCGAUGGGUGCGAAGUUUGUACUACCAACGCCAUCCUUCUAGUUCCAGGAGCAAAGGAAGCUCUAGCGAGGAUGAAGGUGACCCAGGAAGGCAAGACAGAAAGGAUCCGACAGGGGAAGCAUACAGGGAACUGCUAAGGGACAAUAUGGCUCUUUCUGAGUAUGAGUGGUGGUCAGAGAAAGCGGAUUCAUGUCCAUAUUAUAGGAGAACAGGAAAACGGUGCCAAAAAGGAAAGAAAUGUGAGGGUUGUGACUCUUUAAGAGUGUCUGAUUCGGACUAUGAGUCUGUGUGCGGCAUACCCCGUCACUUGCCUGAACAAGCCUUCACCUCAUUGGGCCUCUCUCGGGACAAGUCCCGCAGCAUGCCUCUUCAUUGGUCAAGAGUGCCAUCUGUCAGCUCAAGCCCUGCCUCACUAUCUGGUUCCUGUCACUCUUUACGAUCUCGAUCACGCACUGCCUCUGUCCAAUCAAUGGACUCGUUGGAUGGCAACGAUCCCUUUGAUUGGCCAGAGGAGCAAGCGGUCAUCUUCAAGACCCUUUUUAAAGAGUUGAGAGGAAUUGAAGGAAAGCCGGUGAGGUCACCAGCUGGAAGUCGCAUUCCUGUGUUGGGCCGAGGGGGAGUGCAGAAUGGGAAGGAUGAAGUGGAGGUGAAAGUGGGGUUAGUUAAGGUACUGCAUUUUGGAGAGGGGGAAAAUGGGUCGGAGGAUGAGUUUGAAGAGAGCGAUGAUAUCCUGGCUGAACUUCGAGAUGAGUUUCUGCCAUUGCAAAGAGAGGUGACUUCAAGUAGAGUGCACCCUGCAGUGAAGCAGUUGCGUGAACAACUUGUUCAAGCUCAGGCUUUCAUUAGAACUCUUGAGGCACAGCUCAGGGAUGUCAACAAACCAGCAACUAAUGCUGCUGUCAAUCAAUCAAAGUCAUUUCCACAAAUGACCAUUCUGAAGAAUAAAAAUGACUUGAUUGAGAGUCUCAGCCAAUCGCUACACAGCAGAGAGAGUGUAAUCCAGGAAUGUGUGACUUUGAUCCAGAAGCUGUGUGCUGAACAGGGGGUGGAGUCAGAGGAGACCGAGAAAUUAAUCAGAAAACUUACCAGUGCUGUGGGUGAUAAACACAGUGAGCGUGAGACUGUUCUGGAAGCCCAGCUGUCAGAGGUGAGGGAGAGAGAGAAAGCUCUGGAAAACCAGCUGCAGUCUCUCAGGGACGCUUGCAAAGAGAGAGACCGAGACUUCAUCACACUUAACACUGUGCUCCAGUGUAACCAGGAUGUUAUUAAUCACCUGCGUGUAGAGCUUGUAGAGCGAGAUCGAGCUCAGCAGGAGAUGAUGAAAGAGUGGGAGGUUUGCAAAGGGCUAGAUUCAGCCCUGACUGCACUGGUGAAUGACAACGAAGCAUUUAUUUCCCAGCUAAAGGAGGCGCUAGAGAGUUCACGUCGAGAUGUGCAGGCGCUCUCGGACUCUCUGAUUGGUCGGGGAUUAGAAGGGGGCGGAGCUGAGGCUGGAUUGGUCAAUCAGUUGCGAGAGAAAGAAUCACUGUUGGCAGCAAGCGUCAAAGAUAGAGAGAAGCUUAGCGCCACCAUGAGGAAGGAGAUUUCAAGACUCUCCAUAGCCUUAAAAGACGCUGAAACUCACGUACAGAACCAAAGAGAAAAUCACAAACAAGCCAUCAAUGAAGUUUCACAGCAACUCAAAAAUGCACUUGAGGAACUGAGAGAGAAAACAAAAGAGAAGAAGGAAGCUGAACUAGGAUUGAAAAAGGAAAAUAAGGAGAGAGCUUUCGAGGAAGGAAAACUGAGAGACAAUCUUCAAAAAAGGGACAAACUUAUAGAGUAGGUGGCGAUAUGCACAAAGAAUGCAAAUUGCAAAAAAACAAAAGAAGAAUGUGGAAGUGAAACAAGAAGUGGACAUUUAUUGUAAAAAAAGGACUCUAAUAUUGAUCUCACCCACACUUCUAUUAUCACUUCUGAAGAUAUGGAUUAGACCACUGGAGUAAUAUGGAUUACUUUUAUAAUGCCUUUAUGUGCUGUAUGAUCUUCAAAGUAUUGGACCCUGUUGACUUGCAUUGUAUGGACCUACAGAGCUGAGAAAUUGUUCUAAAAAUCUUAGUUUGUGUUCUGCAGAAGAAAGAAAGUCUUAAACAUCAUGGAUGGCAUGAGGCAAGUACUUCUGGAUUUAGAAGAGCGUGAUGGUGUGCUAACAGAGCUACAGCAAAACAUCUCCACCAGGCUUGAACCCAAGACAGCCCUCAAACACACACUGUGAGUGUACACAGGACACAGAUAAUAGGGAAUGAUCCUGUGAAUACACUGAAUUUGUUGAUUGACUGUUUAUCUUUGAUUUGUGUAAUUUAUUGAUAAAGGCACUACCUUCAGUUGUCUUUGUGUUUCCUGCUCUAAUUUCUACAGAGAUGCGAAUUUCUGCACUUAAUAUCUCUAUGUACAGCUUUUGUUUUUAGCUUUUGAUAAAAUGUAUAGCUUUUUUGAAAUUCUGUCAUUUCAUGGGAAAUUAAGACAGGCCCAUGGGAUUCUGUGCUCUGAGGUUUUUGAUUUGGCUCUGUACAGUAUAACCUUAUGAAAUGUCAUACUAUUAGUGUCAUAUAUUCGUUUUCUCUCAGUAGACUGCUCAACUGGACUGGAGGGAUUGCUGGUAUAUUAUGAAAUGUUAUUUUAGUUCGUGAAUUUAUGACUGCCAUUUACAGGUUGCUCCAGUAAUGUAGUUUGAAUGCAGCCAUAAACAGUUCUGAUUGCUUCCCACAGGUUUUCAGAUUGUGGUUCCAAGAUUUACAUAGUUACACACCUGUGCCUUUUCUACACCAAUAAAUGCUUUUCUGUAGCCCACAUUCCUAACUGCCUCAAAUGAAUUACUAUUUAAAUUAUUAUAUUUAUGUUUUAUUGAUUUUGUCUGCUGAAAAUGUUCUUUGCUCCUUUUCUGUUAUUGCUUAAUUUGUCUCUUCCAUUAUUUUCCAUGUGAAAACAUUUAUAAAUGUUUUAUGUUGAUGUUUGUCUCAGAGAUGCAUUCCAAGUCGCAAUAUGGAUGUACUGUCUUUUAUAGUGAAGGGGAAUCCUUUUCUCAUAAAUGAUGGAUUUACUGAAGCUGAAAAUGAUAUGAUUAUUCUGUGUUUUUAAUCUGCUUGUUUAUCAUUUUAUUUGGGUAUGCUGGAUUUGUUCACAGCCUGAUAAAUGCCUCAUUUCUUUUAAGGAAAUAAACAAAUUAAAAUGAGGCAUCAGGUUUGUGUGGGUUUUGGUUCUUAAAGUUUCUUUUAUUUCUGAGAUAUUAAACUGUUCUUUCUUAAGAACUCAUGGGUGUAUUUGACAAUAAAAACCUCAGAUGG
Xyrauchen texanus (razorback sucker) is the source of this 3916-nucleotide RNA transcript. RefSeq lists it as uncharacterized. The transcript is spliced from 12 exons. The record is from RefSeq and is a predicted model, not a curated record. NCBI's taxonomy places the organism in Eukaryota, Metazoa, Chordata, Actinopteri, Cypriniformes, Catostomidae.